Molecule: ribosomal RNA, 369 nt
Filed under: uncultured organism
Description: partial 16S ribosomal RNA
Rfam family: Bacterial small subunit ribosomal RNA
Source: RNAcentral
AGAGGGGUGCGAGCGUUAAUCGGAAUUACUGGGCGUAAAGGGUGCGUAGGCGGAUAAUUAAGUUGGAUGUGAAAGCCCUGGGGCUUAACCUAGGAAUGGCAUGCGAUACUGAUAAUCUAGAGUACAGUAGAGGAGAGCGGAAUUUCCGGUGUAGCGGUGAAAUGCGUAGAUAUCGGAAGGAACACCAGUGGCGAAGGCGGCUCUCUGGACUGAUACUGACGCUGAGGUACGAAAGCGUGGGGAGCAAACAGGAUUAGAUACCCUGGUAGUCCACGCCGUAAAUGGUGAGAACUAGCUGUUCGGAAAUUAUUCUGAGUGGCGUAGCAAACGCGCUAAGUUCUCCGCCUGGGGAGUACGGCCGCAAGGUUA